ACCGCCGGGCGGGGGAUGGGCCCGGGCCGGCCCCGGGCACGCGGCCCCCGAGCUCUCCGCACCCCGCACCGGAGGUUUCCGCCCCAGCGGGGAGAGGAGCGCGGCGCGCACACACAACGCCUCUUAAAGGCUCCGCGAGAGGCUUUGGAUGGAAUCGAGGACUUCGCCUCCCGCAACUUGGCGAUGCCACGAAAUCCGUCGCUCGCGCACCACCCGGGACUCCCGGCGCAUCUUUGUGCCCACAGUGCCAGAGAAAGAGAAAAGUUCCCCGGUUUCUUUGCAGAGGGGUAGUGGGUGGGGGGCAGGAUAGGUGCCGAGAACCGAGCUUGGAGGCAUUUUGCAAACGAAACAUUUGGUCAGAUCCGGGUGACGGUAGACCCUUCUCUUAAGCAACUCUGAUCACUUGCUUGGUUUUGUGGCUUGAUAGACAUUUUUUUUUUUUUCCUUUUUAGAGAGGGAAAAAAGAAAGAAGCCAUUUGGUAUCUGUCUUUUCCUUGCAGGGUUAACAUUUCACAGGUAUGUGGCCUGACAUUUUAAUUGCUCAAAUGAAACAUCUCGGAUGCUGAGAAGCACAAGUAGACUUCAUCUCAUUGUCAUGACGCAAUUAAAAUCAAUUUUCCUCAACUUCAUCCUCUCUCAUUAGUUAUAGCCAACUCACAAGCCAACGUCCUGCCACACUACCCAGUCGUGGAGAGAGGUGAAUAGACCGUUCUGUCCGCUGAUGGACGAGCGGAGGCAGCCUCCCAGCCUCCUAGCCUCCCCUGUGCAUACCCUCUGUACACACAUGUAAGCGCACAUGUAUCAGAUGCAUAUUUGUCAAUGUACACAGACAAAGACUUCAGCGCCUAUGCUUCUAGGUCAUGGAACAGUUGAGGACGAACUUCAUUGUUCCUCAGGUUCCUUUUAGGCAUCCAUUGAGUCAUUAAAACACGACCAACGAUCCUGCUCCAGAUUGGAAAUAAUACCAAGCACAACUCACAGGAACCACACACAAGCCACAGGCCACCUCAAGAGAUUCACUGCAAUAAGAACAACUUAAUAGCCUAUGCCAGUCUGCUUCAAUGUGCUAAAAUCAUCAACAUGGUUGUGUCUCUGAACUCCAGGGCGUUUGGCUUUAAACAUCACACAUCUAGAAUUGGCCCCACGGAACACACUGUAUUUCAGGGCAGGCACCUUUCGGUUUGAUCAUGAGAAGUUCAUUAUGAUUGUUCAACGUUUAGAAAACAAAAUUUUGACAGCAUCGCACACGUUUUGCCCCAAGAAAAACUGUAAACUUGGAAGCCAACCAGGUUUAUGAACAGUUGAAAUAUUUUACAUCAACCACGCCGAGUUUCAGGAAACAUGAACACAUAUGAAGAGUAAAGUAAUGACCCCAGGAAAGCAUCCUUGAUAGUGCAAAAAAUGGACGAGAUGAAAGGUGUAAAAAAAACCAACCAUAGACCACACAUACGAUUGACCUGUGCUGGUGUGUGCUCUUUGCAUUCAAUAAAUACCCUUUACCCACAGGCAGAAUACAAGGUAGGUACUCAGUGAAGAUACAGGCAGACAGGGGCUAGUUUUUAGGAGAGGAGAAACCCUCUUUACACUUCCUUGCUGGAACCUUCUUAGUCCUCACCCUUUCUCCGCUGAAAUCACGUAUUUCACUAAAGCUGCAGGUGCUGGGAUUAUUUGAAAGUUGUAAAAAAAAAAAAAAACCAACUACAGUGGACACUGAACUAUCAUAAACCUGGUGUACAAUGAGAUUGCCACAGAGAAGGCAGGCUGAGAAUUUCAGGUUGAUUAGAGACACAAUAUCACUUUCUCUUAAAGAGGACAGAAGGAUGGAAAAGAAAUCAUUUCAAAGGUUUUUUUUUCCCCCCCUUUCAACUCCUAUGAUUCAAGGGAUUGCCUAAUGCUACAAAUGUCAGUAGAUUAGGGGCAAUCUCAGCAGAGAUGUGGUGGGGCUGGGAUGAGACAGGAAAUCUAAUGGACAUACCCAUCUCAAUUUAAUAGAAGAGAAUAAUUGAUUGUAGGGAAAUCUUAAUCUUGCCUCUUGAGUGCAGACACUUCCAUAGCAAGAUCACCUUUUACAGACAUGCAGUGGGAAAUUUCUGAAAAGCAACAGCUUCCACAGGGCACUUAGAGAUUUUUGGUGUUUGAAGUAUGCUCUGAUGGACUCAGAUUUAAAAUGAAGAAUUUCCCAAUCUCCUACAGAACUGGAGCCUGCCACAGCACACGACCACAGGCUUCCCGUGAAGUCAGACGUGUUUCACUCUGUAUUUUAGAUUCAUUCAGUUAUGGGGAUGCUAUUAGAAAUUCAAAACAAUAAAUAAAUGACCAUAUCAAUCGUAGUUAAUUUUUACUGCAUAUAAGAAGAGAAAAGACUGCAGACUGAGAAAAAAAAUGGAGGGGAGAAUAUUUUCAAAUGCCUUCUUCAGAGAUGCUCAUUUCCCUUGAAUAAAACAGCUCUAAGUCUAAAAGAGAAAUAUCAAUAUGUCGUUACUGUUCAAAAAAAAAAAUCCAGCCCAGUCUUUUAUUGCAGAUGUAAAUUUAUUUUAAUGAGGGGAAUGGCAAGCUUUAAUUUGGCUGGAGAAAGUUGGAAAAACAUUUGUUUUACUCUGGUGGAAAAAAAAAAAAAGUAAAGCAAACCCACCCAGGAAUAUGAUUUUCUUGCAGCAAGUGGCCUGACGGCUGUCAUUCUCCCCAAAUGAAAUCACAAUAUGAAUACAGACCCCAGCAAAUGCCGAGUUUAACUCUGAACUCAGUAGAAACCAGUUCUGUCCACCAGGAUUCAUUGAAUUCCUCCUUUCCCUCAAUCUAGUUCGUGUGUGUUUUUUCUCUUCCACCACACUGGAGCUCCAUGAAUAGGGAAAGGGGUUUCCAUUGUGUCCCUCUGAACUUCCAAGUCAAUGCAAUUUUUAACCACUGGCUUGUGGUACUUUGAAAAUCACCAGGGGCUGUCAGAGUUGGGUCCUCUGAAAAAUUUACAGUGCUAAAUCAGAGCAUAUGCUGGGAGGGAAAAAAUUGCUUAACAUUGGAGCAAGUACAGUAUCUGUCUGCCCCCUAGUGUAAGAGUCCUCGCUGCCUAAAAUUCAACUUUAAAAGAAAAGGAGCUCUUAAAGGGAAACGACUUGGAGCUCACGUAGGCAUACGAGAAUGAAACUUCUGUACAUUUUAAUCUGAAUAAUUCUUCAGGAUUUAAAAUUAAUUGGCUCUAGCUUGGUUGGACCGGACUCGGAUCUCGCCACCGCUGCGUUUCCCGAGUCACUGGCGGGGAGAGGUGAUCUUCUUCUUUUUUUUUUUUUUUCCUCCCUGAACUGGGUUUAUGUGCGUCCCCCUCACCCCCUCCUCUCUUUUUCUUUCUCUGUCUCUGUCGUCUCUCUCGCUGGCUUUUUAAAAAUGAGGAACCGUUCCUUGAAUGUUCUGGACAGAGCACAGAAUUGCUUCUUAAGUCAGCCCGACGCGGUUGCAAUAGACAGCCAAAAGGUAAACGUUUGCCUGAAAUCCGCACGCCAGUUCCGCCACCCCGCCCGAUGGUCUCGUUUCCUCUGGGAUUGCUCCUGAGCGGGCUGUCUUCAUGCCAGGGGCGGGCAGUCGAAUCGCUGGCCUUCACGGGACCACUGGACAUCUGGCAGAAAACAGGAAGCCGUGACUUCGCUCAGCCGGAAAACUACGAGAUAAAGAAAGAGGAAGGUUCACUGGAUUAUCUGAGGUCGGACUGCUGGGGUGAGAAUUGAACCCCAUCCUGGUUGACGACAGAGUUUACACUCUUAUCAUUCCUCAUGACGUGUGGAUAAUUUUAUUUUUUAAUGCUUAUUGAUUUAUUUUGAGAGAACAAGAGAGAGCGUGCACCCGUGUGUACGUGGAUAAGGAGCGGAGAGAGAGAAUCCCAAGCAGCCUCCCCACUGUCAGCACAGAGCCCUACGUGGGGCUCGAUCCCACGAACCGUGAAAUCAUGACCUGAGCUGAAAUCAAAAGUCGGGACGCUUAAUCGACUGAGCCACCCAUGCAUCCUUUAUGCGGAUAAUUUUAAGUAAAAAACAAAUAUUAGCCACCCCCCCCCCCCCCGGCAACAGACCCUGGAAAGAAGCCCCCAAACUCCAAACCCAAAACAAGCCAGCAUCAACACACACAAAUCUGACAAACUUGCUCUUCUGGUAAUCACACUGAAAAGUACAUAGCAAAGCUUAGACCGAGAGAACACGCCAAAGUUGAACAAGCUCAUCUGCGACCAGCCAAUAACAUGCCAGAAUGUUCUUUGUCCCCCGAUGUGAGGUGGGGGGUGUUGUUUCGCUGGUGCUCCGGACGCCCCUACGGUUUCUUUGGAGCCUCGUCUACACCUGCGACACUAAGGUUUGUGAAGUCACUCGAGUCUCAUGAAGGAUUUAGUUGCACUGCGUUGCCGUGAACGCUUGGAUUUGGAAGCAAGGCUCACGACUGCCUUCUGGAUUUUCCAUGGUAGGGUGAAAAAAAAAAUGCGCGACACACAUCACCAAGAAUCCAUGUCUGUGCCUGGCAGUGUAAUCGAGAAAAACUUUGGAAUGCGAGUGGACGGCAUUAUGAAUAGCUUUCCUUAGCGCACCUGCAGAAAGGCACUACCUUUAGACACACCUUUGCCAAGCGCGUGUGCAUAAGGCACAGUGUUAGACGGAUGUGACAAAUGGGUGGGUGAUGCCUUUGUAGAAGAUUCUCCCAGGACUCUGACGGGCUGAGGUUUAGAGAUGCCCAUACAGCCUCCGGGCGCUAAGAAGAUGACAGCCGGGGCCCGAUAUCAGCCCAUGAAAUAUUUUCAUCAUCAGGAUGAAGAAAAUUAUUUUGCACCGUUUCUGUUGUUCGGAAGUGGGAACAUUUUCGGGUGUGAAUCCCCCAAGGGACUUUCUGUGGCCUCCCUACCUCUUAUCCGGGAUUGUGCAGUAUGGAGUCAGAAACGCCAUGGGAAGAAGUCGUUGGGCUGCCUUCUCCAGGAGCUUUCCCUGGGCAGUCGUCUCUGCCCAUGUUACGGAAGACGGCAAAAAUCCGAGCCAUCAUGCAUCUGGCCAAUUAUGCAAUGCUCCGUCGCGAGGGGAAAUUCCUUCCUCACCCCAGCUGGUGAACAGUUAUGCCCUGGAGCCCAGGACGGCCAUGCCUUGUAACUUUUUAACCUAGUUAGCGUAACUGCCAAUAUUAUUCCUAUUCAUAUAAAUGUCUAAUCCUUUCUUGAAUCUUGCUAGACUAUUUGCCUCAAUAAUACCCUGCGGCAGUGAAUUCCACAGGUAGAUUAUACGCUGUUUUAAGAAGUAUUUCCUUUUUUUUUUUCAUUUUAAAUUUGUUACCUUUUAACGUCACAGGAUGGCCUUGUUCUUGCAUGAAGGGGCCCGGGGUCCAGGCGUUUCAAGUUCUGCUUUAAUUUUUCCAAGCCCUUCGCCAUCAUUAGAACUCUGUCUUCGUCAGGUAUUUUCGGUUUUGGUGUAUCCGAUCUUGAUUAAACGAGAUGAUUGAUGUGAAUAGUCUCAUAUGGCUUUGGCACAUAGUAGGCACCGGAAAAAAGCUCUCCUUGGUAUUCAUUCCACUUACUGGACAGCUUUUUUUUUUUUGAGUACCUACUGCGUGCAGGAAUCAUUGUAAGUACUGGAGAGACAGCGUUGAAUGAGACAGGGUCCUUGUUGGAAGGACCCAAUUGGGAAGGACCCAAUUUCCUAGAGAAGAUGAGCAGCGAUGUAGUGAACAAAGAUGAACGACAGGGUCUCCAGUACUCGUAAGUACUACGGGAAAAUUAGAGAAGAGUGGUUGGCAGAGGAUGGAAGGGGCCCCAUGAGAUUGCACCGUCAGGGAGUAACUCACUGAAAAGGGGCCGGUUGAGCUGGCCCUCAAGGAAGCAUCGGUGUGAAAUCUCCACGAAGGUGAACCCACGCUCCCAGACAAUGCCUGGCAGGAGCUUCUGGAUAUUAUCCUGAAGAAGUAAAGAUGGAUGGGCUUCUCUGAUGAGCUUUUUUAGCAACCGGCAUACCGUAUCCUGCUGAAUCUUUUCUGCGCAAGCCUGAGGGUCACUAAGAUGCGACUAAGGGUCUAUAUUAAUCUGGAGAAAUGCAUUGACCAUCGGUGUUAAGGAACAUCUCUCACUGGUGACUAAGAAAAUAAUCAAUCUUAUAGCAAGUACCAACUGGAGACACAAAGAAGGCAGCAUUGACUCUGCUCUUAAGGAACUCCCGGAAGGAGACAGAAGAAGAAUCAACACGAAGAGUUGUAUACCACGGAGCAAAUGAAACAGCCCCCCAUUACUGAGCGCUAACAGGGUGAGUCUGUCUAGCUGAAGACAUCUACUGAAGAGAGUCCAGCUAAUUACAUGCAAGGAUUAACUUCUCAAGGACUCAGAAAAAGGGUGUUGUUUUAUCCAGUUCAGGGAAGACACGGCUUCUUCAUCAACUGCUAAGGUGACGGUGAUGCUGCGGAAAGAAGUCAUACAGGUUUACAGGUCUGAGCUCAACUAUCCCUUCCCCAGGGAAAUCGUCCCUGAAGCCUAGAAAACAUCAGUCCCCUCCUUAUCUACCCCCGGUGCUCCUUCUUCUUUGGGGUACCGCUCACAGUGGAUGCACUGACCGUCCAACUGUCCAGAAUCGUCCCCAGUAAGGAACCCUCCCAAAGGCUGAGCCACGUGAAGUCUAAAGAGGAAUCACCGUCAUUCGGAAAACUCGGAUCAGCUUCCUUCUGCGUUGCCUGAACAUCGGUGUCAUCUGGGUAAAGUGUUUUGAGGAAAAUUUAUGCCUCCUCACAAAGAAACAGCUGUGCAUCGCCACAGUCACUAACUUUUGAAAGAUGUUACAAGAAGGUGUUCAUUUCAAGUCAGUUGCUUCAGCUACAGCUUUCCCUUCAUGUUUUAAUAUCAUGGCGUCUCCUUCUGGUCCCCUAAGUGUUACCUGGUUUCUCUGGAGGAGUGGGGGAACCCAGGACCCAUAAGUUAUGGCUCCUAUUAAGAGGGUUGGCUGGACGUGCGGACAAUGUGUCAAUAAUUAUUUCUGGCGGGGCCUUAACAGCAGAGGAAGUGCCUCUGUAGAGUGGCUUAUUUUAACAGAAGACAGAUAUGCCUGACCCGGGUUUUAUGACAGAUGUCAAAUAUAUCGAAGUGUGUCGUGAAGCAGAUCGUCUUAUUGGCAAAGAAAUGAAAGACCACCAGGAAGAUGGAUGGGAAGAUUUCCUCAAGGGGUUUCCCGUCUCCUCGCGCAGGUGGGUGGAUCCAGCACCGGGUGUUGGGCUUGGUGGAAGCUGGAUCUCACUUCACACAGUGCUGGGCACAACGUGCAUCCUGGCGACACCACGAAGAACAAGCUUAAGAAAGCCGAUCUUGUGCGUUGGCUAGGUUUUCCCCGUCAUCACCUGGGCUUUUCACCACGACUGCCUACAAACAAGAGAUUCUGUCAGAGGGGAAGUGGGAACCGACUGGUUUCAUUCGUUUCAUCCUCCAAACCGGCUGCCAAGGUGGUUAAAGGCUUUGUCUACGGAACAGAAAAGGCAAACCUCCCUCGAAGGGAAAAGCAGAAUCUUGUCUCACGUAAGAGACAGGAACAGGGUCCGCCGCAUCCUCGAAAAGGAUUCGAUGCAACUCUUUGGAAAUUAACUUCCUCAGAGCCAAGGAGAGCUAGACUGUUUCUCAGUGGAUUGUGUCCUGCAGCGAGUAGUAAGGAAGCUGCCAUCCCUCUUGGGAUACCUCAUUGGGUACCAUAUACUUCCGGGCGAGGACGUGGACUCCUUGGGCGUCCAACAUUGUGCCUUGUGCACACUAGUGCCUUCCACUGAUGAGUUGUAUCUGGGGCUGACAAGUAUAUGGCUUCCUCUUUUGGAGACGACCGUCCCCUCCCAGGGAGGUACGGAUGCAGAGGGUGCUGAUGAGGUUGGGGGCGGGGAGGAAUAAGUCUACCGCUAGGUCGAUUAGAUGACCGAAUCUAGCCUCUUGAGUUAGAGCGGGGCCUUUGGUACCUCUCCCGGGGGAGAUAGCAGCCCUUUAUCUCAGCCGUCACCCCCUACAGCUGCACGUUCUUUCGAGUCGAUUUGACCGGUCAUGAGAAAUUUUGUAACACAUAUGCAUUGACACCUGCCAUCUCUAAGGUACUGAAUGAGAACACGACGAAAUGGACCUGCAAUCGACAUUGGUGUUUUCAGAGUUCCACGGAUCUCACGGUGGCAAAUACUUCUUUAAGGCAGGAACAGCUGUCAGCUGUCUUUCCGAAGCGAACAGUUUCUGGGGCACCUGGGUGGCUCAGUUGGUUGAGCGUCCGACUUCGGUUCAGGUCACGAUCUCGCGGCUCGUGAGUUUUGAGCCCUGUGCCGACAGCUCAGAGCCUUGGAGCCUGCUUCCGAUUCUGUGUCUCCCUCUCUCUCUGCCCCUCCCCCCCACCCCGAUCUUUCUCAAAAUAAAUAAACGUUAAAAAAAAUUGAAAGAAGUGCAUAGUUUCUAUUUGAGAAACUGUGGGCACCUGUGAGGAAGAAUACCAAUCGUGAGAGACUGGGUGCCAGGUGGCCUGUAACCAAGUUGUUAAAAAUCUUCUGGGCAGAAGAACAUAAGGGUCAGAAUCAAGGCACUGAAGACGUAAAGGAGGGAAUGAAACCGAAAGACAAUUAGUGGGUAGAAUGACAAAAAAAAAGUACUUGAGGGUUACUCCCUGGGGUCUAGUUGGGAAGCUCGGGUGAAGAGAGAUUUUGAGUAGAAGGUGAAAAAGUUGAUUCAUUUUGGGCUGUGAUAUAAUUGUGGUGUCUAUAAGACCAACAGCGUUGAUCAACUCAUUCAAUAGUUGGAGAAACUAAUCUGUAGCUCAAGAUACACGUGGACAUAACUUUACCUUUCUGUGAUGCUUCAGAUGACUCUUUGGUAUCUAGCCAUGUCUCAGGGGUCACCGUAAUUAACAUUAAGUGUUGCUUGACCGUAAAUGUAUAGAGUUGCAGGUUGUAGAGAGCUGUGUUUAAUAGAAAGCCGAAAACAAGCCAUUAACUAGAUUUACUAAUAGGUGCCUUGCCCAGGAACAGUGCAUCGGGGAAAAAAAAAAAAAACAAGCAAGCAAACAAAAAAAACAUAUAAAUUAAUAUGUCCAGAAAAAAAAAAGAAAAAGGAAGAUACAACCCUUGUUCAAGGAACUUAUUAUCUUCAGCCUAUAGAAGAUAUGACAGGUGGCCAGAUUACCUGUGUUAGGAUCAUGGACCUUGCGCUUGCUAUAUGACCUUGGGCAAGUUAGGUAACUUUUUAAAGCUUGGAUUUGCUCCCUUGCCAAAUCAUCUUUGCAGAAUAUUAGUAUCCUCCUCAUUAAGGAGUUGUAAGGAUUAGCUACGGCGAAACAAAAAUUGAUUUCCUGUAUUUUGAUGGUGUACAAUAAAUUUCUUUAGGAAAUAAUGUGUGCAUUGUGAUCUAUUUAAUAAAUUUUACUCUUGCUUUAUUUGAUUUCCAGUUAAUGCCAAAUAAUAACCUGUCUAUUUGAAUUGCAAAAAUCAAGCUGGUUUGAAUUAAAGAAGUGUGAAAAAUUCUUGGGUUGGCAAAAUACGGUAACACUGCCAUCAAUUAAAAAUAGGUAAAAUGUGUUAGAAAUCAUGAAAAGUUCACGCUUUAAUUGAACUGGCUUUUUCACGAGCCUGUGUUUUUACGCAGCUUAAUGAAACAAAAAUUGAAACAGUGCCCAUUCUGAAAUCUGCGUUAAUUGUUAUUAUUUCCAGAAAGUUCGCAUGAUUACAAAAAAGUUUUGCUGUCAUGCCAAGUAGAAAUGUACAGUACCUGCCUUUCAUUUUCUCUGGAUUUCUUUUUGGUAAUAAAGACCAACAUUCAUUUUGGCAAACAGA
Felis catus (domestic cat) is the source of this 9774-nucleotide long non-coding RNA. RefSeq lists it as uncharacterized. The record is from RefSeq and is a predicted model, not a curated record. Lineage: Eukaryota; Metazoa; Chordata; Mammalia; Carnivora; Felidae. The transcript is spliced from 15 exons.